AGAGAGCAAAUUAGAAUCCAAGGAAGUUGACAUGUCAUCACUUCAUUUUUUUGCGCCUGCGCAUAAAUCUGAGAAACGUGAGUUUUGUCUUCAUUGUUUAUCUAGACAUAGGAUAGGUUGUGUGAAAAUAUUACUGAUGUUUAACGUUAAAAAUGGACCAAAAGAUUAAUGCUAAACAACAUUUGACAUGUUUGAACGAACAUAAAUAGAUUAUUUACUAGGUUUUUUUAGCUUUUCGGCGUGAUUUUACAGUCCCCCCACCACGUUUUGUGGGAGCAUAAUGAACGCUAAGUACUUGGUGUUAUUUGGACAUAAAUUAUGAACUUUGUCAAAAGAAACCACAUUUGUUCCGGACCUGGGAUGCCUUCCGGACCUGGGAUGCCUGCCUUCUGAUGGAGAUAAUCAAAGAUCUAUCCAUUACCUUCGACACCGUGAACCAUCAGAUCCUCCUUUACACCCUCUCAGGGCUGGGCAUCUGAGGCUCUGCACACUCUUGGAUUGCAUCCUACCUGGCAGACGGCUCCUACCAGGUGACGUGGCGAGGAUCUGUGUCUGCACCACGUACUCUCACUACUGGUGUCCCCCAAGGCUCAGUUCUAGGCCCUCUUCUCUCUACACACCAAGUCAUUCGGCUCCAUCAUAUCCUCACAUGUUCUCUCCUAACAUUGCUAUGCGGAUGACACUCAACUCAACCUCGACAAGACGGAGCUGCUCUUCCUCCAGGGAAAGCCUGCCCGCUCCAAAACCCUACACCCUAACCCGAGUACUCCGUUCUGCCACCUCAGGUCUCUUGGCUCUCCCACCCCAAGCUUUUCUCUGUCCUGGUACUCCAAUGGUGGAACCAGCUUCCCCCUGAAGCUAGGACAGCAGAGUCGCUGCCCAUCUUCCGAAAGCACCUGAAAAUCCUUACCUUUUCAAAGAGUAUAUUAAAUAUACCCCCCCCCCCCCACACCCCAAAACAAAUUCCUGAACCAACACUUGCACUUGAUUUAAUCCCCCUCCUCGCUUUGUAGUGAUGACUUUGCUGAUAGCUACUUUAUUACGGAAAAGUAUACUUACUAUGCCUGUGAUAUCUGGUUGUCCCACCUAGCUAUCUUAAAAUGAAUGCACUAUCUAGAUAAGAGUGUCUACUAAAUGACUAAAAUAUAAUAUAAAAUGGGUGUGAAUACUUAUGUAAAUGAGAUAUUUCUGUAUUUCAUUUUCAAUAAAUUAGCAUGUUUUCACUUUGUCAGGGUAUUGUGUCAAGAUGAGUGAGAUUUAAAAAAAAAAUGAUUCAGGCUGUAACACAACAAAAUGUGGAAUAACUCAAGGGGUAUGAAUACUUUCUGAAAGCACUGUAUAUAUUAAUGUGGAUGAUUCAUUUUGAGCCCAGGAAUAGGUCAACUGGGCUAAACUGCAUUGUGAAUAAUUUAAGAUUCUAUUAACAUUUAAAGUUGACAUUGAUUUGACACAGUCAGGCCUCAGUGAUAUGAUAAGGUGCAGGGAGGGAACAGAAAGCUGUGCUAUGAUAAUUGCCCAGAUGGCUUUUGUUUGUUUAAUGUCAUCUUUCUCAGGUCUGUUAUUGUACUCGUCAAGAGUGGAUAUCGGAUAAGUGUUCUUGGUCUGCAAGCUAUUGAGGUUCACAUUUAAGCAACUAGCGUUGCUUAGUGACAGGUGAGUAAAUGCACUGUGUUAGCUACAGUAAUCAUCCAAAGAAGGAUUUUCUAUCUUUGUUCUAUUUCUCCUUGUCCUCUGAAACCCUCUGUGGAGCUGGCCGAGGAAUAACAUUUUAAAAUGUGAAUGAAGGAAUGACACUAAGCUGAACAAAGUAGUUCCCCCAGUGUGUGUGCAUGCGUGCGUGUGAGCGUGCUUCUGCAUGCGUACUGUGUGUGUGUGUGUGUGUGUGUGUGUGUGUGUGUGUGUGUGUGUGUGUGUGUGUGUGUGUGUGUGUGUGUGUGUGUGACAGGAGAUCACAGAUCAAUAGCCCCGGGCCAUCUCCUCCUGACCAUCAUGACCUGGGAGAUAAGGAGCACAGGCCAUGUGACCUCCUUGCCUUUAAAGAUCUGUUUACACAAAGACAAACACUAGAACAAGACCUUUGAAUAAGACGCCUGCCAUUUGCAUUCGGGUCAUCUGAAUUUAAAGUUUACAUUUACUGGACAGCUUGCGUAUUCUUCCUUUUAAACUAUACAAUGAAAUGACCAAGCCUUUGUAGUUGGAUGAAUAUAUAGAAAAGCUAAAUGUCUUCCAUAUAAUUUGUAAGCAUAUUUGGCAUAUUUCAGUGAAUAGGAAAAGUAAACUUAAAUAGCAUCCAAGCCAUUGUAAGUACAAUUACAAAUUUGACAAAAGCUUCUUGGAUUAAGGACAACCAUUUCACUUAUUGUUGGACCUUCACCUUGGAAUGUAAUAAAAUGCAACUCUGCAAAACAGCAGGGAGUCUAGCAGGAGGAGACUUAUUGUAAUGCCCUCUGAGGUCUAAUACCAGGUGGCAUUCUGCUUCUUCAGCGCUGUGCCGGAGGACACAGGCUCAGGUAGCAGGUUAUACCUUAGAGCCGGCAUCCUGCUGUCUGGUUUACCCAGGUGAAAGAAAAAGGGAAACAUUGUUGAGGAACAAACAGGAAUAUGUAACUACUUAUUAUAACUAGAACACACUGUGUUCAUGAAAUGACUGCAUGAAUAAAUAAAGAGAAUAGCAUUGUUUUAUCAAAUGUCUUGCUGCCCCAUUGUCUGCAGAAACAAGGCUAAUGCUACUUGAUCCAGGAUGGAUCUCUCACAAAAGAUAAACUUCAGUCUGCAAUCUCAGGUUCUAGCUACAUCUGGGGCUGGAUAACAGAAACUGCAACAUGACAAAAUGUGUAGAAUGGCAUUAUAAAACAGAAUAUUUUUCUCUCUGCUCCAUGGCAAAAUGUGUUGAAAUGCAGUAAAUUCCUUUUUUUUUUCAUCCAAAAAUAAAUCCAUGGUGCCCCAAAUGCGGUAGUCUGUCCUUGGCUACAUCAUUCCUUUUAUUCCAUUAAACACUCAAGCCACUUUCUUCACUCAGCAGCAGUGUGCACUAAUGACACAAUCCAAGGCAGAAUCACUGCAUAAAUACCACUAACCACCAUCCAUACUUCUCCUCCAUCUACAUGCUAAUUACUUUGCUAGCCUGAGAUCUCUGCCAUCUAUUCCUCUGACAAGUUUUAAUAAGCACCUCCAUGCACUCAGAUGUCAUUAGUACGGGACCGUCUACUGCUGCUAAUCAUUCAGUGUCUGCUUGGAGUGGUAAAAAGGAAACACUAAACUUUUAUUUGGAUCCUUGAGAAUAGGACAUGUAUGUCUGGUAUAAAACUUGUAUUGAAUGUAAAGUACAAGGUAAAAUACUAAUGUUAUGUUGGACAUGGCAUUAAGCCUGUCUCAAAUUUCUGCAGAUCAGCUGACGAUACAAGAACAAUCAAGGCAUCAAUAUAAAAAGGUAAAUCAUGUGGAUUGAUGCAGAUGGUUCUAAUGCCUGCUCUUAUCACAUUUGAUUAGGGAAGGUAAUCGGUGUGCAUGCAUGUGAGAUCUUCUCUCUCCCUGAAGAUCUGAGGGGCUAGACAAUCCUCAUUAUGCAGACUCACAUGCUGUUUGAGGCGGGCCGAGCGGCAUGGCAGAAAUACCUUUACCCCUCUUAAAGCUGGUCCCCAGUGGGACUCAACAGCUGUCAUUUACCAUCGGCUCCAUCCCUCUGUAAUCCUGUAUAGCUCUGACUCCAGCUGACCGCAGCCUGCCACCAGCGCUCCCCUGGGAUCCCGCACUACACCGAGAGCCAAUCAGCAUCUGAUUAGAGGAAGCAGCCCAUGGAGAGGAGAGGUGUCCAUCUACCAUUACCCGAAGACAAUCAAACACACACACACACACACACACACACACACACACACACACACACACACACACACACACACACACACACACACACACACACACACACACACACACACACACACACACACACACACACACACACGGAC
Molecule: long non-coding RNA, 3965 nt
Filed under: Salmo salar (Atlantic salmon)
Lineage: Eukaryota; Metazoa; Chordata; Actinopteri; Salmoniformes; Salmonidae
Description: lncRNA (ENSSSAG00000106798.1)
Source: RNAcentral